RNAcentral lists this ribosomal RNA (253 nucleotides) under uncultured bacterium. RNAcentral's name for it is "partial 16S ribosomal RNA". It matches the Rfam family "Bacterial small subunit ribosomal RNA", at positions 524 to 776 of the family's 1533-position model. The record is from RNAcentral.
UACAGAGGGGGCAAGCGUUAUUCGGAAUUAUUGGGCGUAAAGGGCGCGUAGGCGGCCUGGCAAGUGGACGGUGAAAUCCCUCGGCUUAACCGAGGAACUGCCCUCCAAACUGCUUGGCUUGAGACCGGGAGAGGUGAGUGGAAUUCCCAGUGUAGCGGUGAAAUGCGUAGAUAUUGGGAGGAACACCAGUGGCGAAGGCGGCUCACUGGACCGGUACUGACGCUGAUGCGCGAAAGCGUGGGGAGCAAACGGG